GGGUUCUACCAUUGGUCAGGCUAUUGUCUGUACUGGCGUGUAGAAUUUCUACCUUCUGGGGAACUGUCAUGUUAUUAAUUUAAUGUGGUAGGAAACCAGGACCUUUACCUUGAAAAAAUUAGAGUGUUCAAAGCAGGCUUAUGUCUGAAUACAUUAGCAUGGAGUAAUAAAAUAGGAUGAUGGUCCUGUUUUGUUGGCUUCUGAAUCACCGUA
Molecule: ribosomal RNA, 213 nt
Filed under: uncultured fungus
Lineage: Eukaryota; Fungi
Description: partial small subunit ribosomal RNA
Rfam family: Eukaryotic small subunit ribosomal RNA (bases 39-213)
Source: RNAcentral